UAAUAGCGUAUAUCAAAGUUGUUGCAGUUAAAAAGCUCGUAGCUGAAUCUCGGGGAUGGAAGAGCAGUCUGCCUUCACGGCGAGACGGCUCAACUGACUCACAUAUAGCGGUAUUCUCGAAGGUGCUCUUGACUGAGUGUCUCGGGUGGUCGUUACGUUUACUUUCAAAAAAUUAGAGUGCUUAGAGCAGGCCAGCAGUGCCUUGAUACCACAGCAUGGAAUAAUGGAAUAAGGCCUCGGAACACGUUCUGUUGGUCUCCGGUUACCAGAGGUCAUGAUUAAUAGGGUCAGACGGGGGCAUCCGUAUUGCUGGGCGAGAGGUGAAAUUCUUAGACCCUAGCAAGACGAACAACAGCGAAAGCAUUUGCCAAGAAUGAUUUCAUUAGUCAAGAACGAAAGUCA
RNAcentral lists this ribosomal RNA (402 nucleotides) under uncultured eukaryote. Its description in RNAcentral is "bacterial SSU rRNA". It matches the Rfam family "Eukaryotic small subunit ribosomal RNA", at positions 592 to 992 of the family's 1831-position model. The record is from RNAcentral.